This 240-nucleotide ribosomal RNA is filed under the name uncultured bacterium. RNAcentral's name for it is "partial 16S ribosomal RNA". It matches the Rfam family "Bacterial small subunit ribosomal RNA", at positions 120 to 354 of the family's 1533-position model. The record is from RNAcentral.
GGANACCUGCCCAAAAGAGGGGGAUAACACUUGGAAACAGGUGCUAAUACCGCAUAACCAUAGUUACCGCAUGGUAACUAUGUAAAAGGUGGCUAUGCUACCGCUUUUGGAUGGGCCCGCGGCGCAUUAGCUAGUUGGUGGGGUAAAGGCUUACCAAGGCAAUGGUGCGUAGCCGAACUGAGAGGUUGAUCGGCCACAUUGGGACUGAGACACGGCCCAAACUCCUACGGGAGGCAGCAG